GGAGGGGAACAGAUGAUCGCCGGGUUGCUUCGUGCAGCCGGGAGGAAAGUCCGAACACCACAGGGCAGGGUGCUCCAUAACGUGGAGUCGCGGUAACGCGAAGGCAAGUGCAACAGAGAGUAGACCGCCACGUACCCGUUUCGGGUGCGGGGUAAGGGUGAAAGGGUGCGGUAAGAGCGCACCAGUUCUUCGGGUGAUCGGAGAAGCUGGGUAAACCCCACCCGGUGCAAGACCAAAUAGGGAAGUGUUUGAGGGCUGCCCGUCCGAGCUUCCGGGUAGGUCGCGUGAGGUGUCGGGCAACCGGCAUCCUAGAUGAAUGAUCAUCGCCCCGUUUCCGGGUAACCGGGACGGGGAACAAAAUUCGGCUUACGUACCCCUUCAACC
This 384-nucleotide RNase P RNA is filed under the name Desulfoluna spongiiphila. RNAcentral describes it as "Bacterial RNase P class A". It matches the Rfam family "Bacterial RNase P class A". Rfam says of the family: Ribonuclease P (RNase P) is a ubiquitous endoribonuclease, found in archaea, bacteria and eukarya as well as chloroplasts and mitochondria. Its best characterised activity is the generation of mature 5'-ends of tRNAs by cleaving the 5'-leader elements of precursor-tRNAs. Lineage: Bacteria; Pseudomonadati; Thermodesulfobacteriota; Desulfobacteria; Desulfobacterales; Desulfolunaceae. The record is from Rfam by way of RNAcentral.